Molecule: ribosomal RNA, 283 nt
Filed under: uncultured bacterium
Lineage: Bacteria
Description: partial 16S ribosomal RNA
Rfam family: Bacterial small subunit ribosomal RNA
Source: RNAcentral
GAAAACCUACGGGACGCAGCAGUGAGGAAUAUUGGUCAAUGGGCGAGAGCCUGAACCAGCCAAGUCGCGUGAGGGAGUACUGCCCUAUGGGUUGUAAACCUCUUUUGUCGGGGAGCAAAAGCCGGACGUGUCCGUCUGUGAGAGUACCCGAAGAAAAAGCAUCGGCUAACUCCGUGCCAGCAGCCGCGGUAAUACGGAGGAUGCGAGCGUUAUCCGGAUUUAUUGGGAUUAAAGGGUGCGCAGGCGGAUUUUUAAGUCAGCGGUCAAAUCGUGGGGCUCAACC